AUAAGCAAUGUGAUAUUACCGAGGUAACUUGCGGUGCUUAAUGUUGGAGAAAGUUGAUAUUCUUUUAUCAACUGUAAUAGGACAUUUGGUCCUAUAUUCAUACUGUUCUUAGGGUAUCCCUAGUGGUGAUGUCUAUAUGAAUAUGAGUAAUUGAAUAUGUUUCCUUUCUUUUGAACAUUUAUAAAUUCAGGCUUGUAAAGGGCUUUGUAGCA
Molecule: unclassified non-coding RNA, 212 nt
Filed under: Hevea brasiliensis (rubber tree)
Lineage: Eukaryota; Viridiplantae; Streptophyta; Magnoliopsida; Malpighiales; Euphorbiaceae
Source: RNAcentral